This 397-nucleotide unclassified non-coding RNA is filed under the name fungal sp. RNAcentral's name for it is "partial internal transcribed spacer region". The stretch from base 1 to 46 matches the Rfam family "Eukaryotic small subunit ribosomal RNA", at positions 1786 to 1831 of the family's 1831-position model. Lineage: Eukaryota; Fungi. The record is from RNAcentral.
AAGUCGUAACAAGGUUUCCGUAGGUGAACCUGCGGAAGGAUCAUUAACACGUAUCCACGUAUCAACCAAUGUGCACUUGUAAUUCUACCUUUGUAGGGAAUGGAUUGAGCCGACACGCCACGAAAAUGCAGGCUUAGUUGCCCGUGGUAGUUCGCAAACUUAGUAGGAAUUUAUUUUCUUGCUAGACAAUCGUAUCCUGUCACAAAGACAACUGUUCCUGCCUACGCCUAGGACUUCUGCAUUGUUCAAGGUGGUGGGGACACAUUAUUAACUUUAUUCACAACCUUUUUGCUAGUUGACUUUUAUAUGUUGGUUUUCGUACUUUUGUGCGUGGGCCACACGUUUAAUUAUUUGAACGUUAAAAAUACAACUCUUAGCAAUGGAUAUCUUGGUUCUC